UACGUAGGGUGCGAGCGUUGUCCGGAAUUAUUGGGCGUAAAGGGCUCGUAGGCGGUUUGUCGCGUCGGGAGUGAAAUCCACUGGCUUAACUGGUGGCUUGCUUUCGAUACGGGCAGACUGGGGGUAUGCAGGGGAGAACGGAAUUCCUGGUGUAGCGGUGAAAUGCGCAGAUAUCAGGAGGAACACCGGUGGCGAAGGCGGUUCUCUGGGCAUGUCCUGACGCUGAGGAGCGAAAGUGUGGGGAGCGAACAGG
This 253-nucleotide ribosomal RNA is filed under the name uncultured bacterium. Its description in RNAcentral is "partial 16S ribosomal RNA". It matches the Rfam family "Bacterial small subunit ribosomal RNA", at positions 524 to 776 of the family's 1533-position model. The record is from RNAcentral.